Molecule: ribosomal RNA, 253 nt
Filed under: uncultured bacterium
Lineage: Bacteria
Description: partial 16S ribosomal RNA
Rfam family: Bacterial small subunit ribosomal RNA
Source: RNAcentral
UACAGAGACUGCAAGCGUUAUUCGGAUUCACUGGGCGUAAAGGGUGCGCAGGUGGCCGAGUGUGUUAGGCGUGAAAGCCCGGGGCUCAACCUCGGAAUUGCAUUCAAUACUGCUUCGCUUGAGUACUGGAGAGGAGACUGGAAUUUACGGUGUAGCAGUGAAAUGCGUAGAUAUCGUAAGGAAGGCCGGUGGCGAAAGCGAGUCUCUGGACAGUUACUGACGCUGAUGCACGAAGGCCAGGGGAGCAAACGGG